GAUGAGAAAAACGUUGUACACACCGCCCGUCGCUACUACCGAUUGAAUGGCUCAGUGAGGCCUUGGGACUGGCUCAGAGAGGUUGGCAACGACCACUCAGAGCCGGAAACUCGAUCAAACUUGGUCAUUUAGAGG
This 135-nucleotide ribosomal RNA is filed under the name Heteroplacidium sp. Its description in RNAcentral is "partial small subunit ribosomal RNA". It matches the Rfam family "Eukaryotic small subunit ribosomal RNA", at positions 1159 to 1779 of the family's 1831-position model. Lineage: Eukaryota; Fungi; Ascomycota; Eurotiomycetes; Verrucariales; Verrucariaceae. The record is from RNAcentral.